AUUGAACGCUGGCGGCAUGGCUAAAACAUGCAAGUCGAACGAGAACCUCGCAAGAGGGGACAGUGGCGGAAGGGUCAGUAAUGGGAUCGAACGUACCCAGAGGUGGAGGAUAGCGUUGGGAAACUGACGGUAAUACUCCAUGUCCUCUACGGAGAAAAGAUUUAUCGCCUUUGGAGCGGCGAUCCUCCUAUCAGGUAGUUGGCGGGGUAAAAGCCCACCAAGCCGAAGACGGGUAGCGGGUGUGAGAGCACGGCCCGCGACAUCGAGACUGAGACACUGCUCGGACUCCUACGGGAGGCUGCAGUAACGAAUAUUCCGCAAUGCGCGAAAGCGUGACGGAGCAAUGCCGCGUGCAGGAUGAAGCGGUUUUGCCGUGUAAACUGCUGUCAGGGAUAAGAAAUACUGAUCUAUCCCAGAGGAAGGGCGACUAACUCUGUGCCAGCAGUCGCGGUAACACAGAGGCCCCGAGCGUUAAUCGGAAUCACUGGCGUUAAA
This 495-nucleotide ribosomal RNA is filed under the name uncultured bacterium. RNAcentral's name for it is "bacterial SSU rRNA". It matches the Rfam family "Bacterial small subunit ribosomal RNA", at positions 28 to 564 of the family's 1533-position model. The record is from RNAcentral.